CCUACGGGUGGCAUCAGUGGGGAAUAUUGGACAAUGGGGGCAACCCUGAUCCAGCCAUGCCGCGUGUGUGAAGAAGGCCCUCGGGUUGUAAAGCACUUUCAGUGAGGAAGAACGCCUGGUGGUUAAUACCCAUCAGGAAAGACAUCACUCACAGAAGAAGCACCGGCUAACUCCGUGCCAGCAGCCGCGGUAAUACGGAGGGUGCGAGCGUUAAUCGGAAUUACUGGGCGUAAAGCGCGCGUAGGUGGCUUGAUAAGCCGGUUGUGAAAGCCCCGGGCUCAACCUGGGAACGGCAUCCGGAACUGUCAAGCUAGAGUGCAGGAGAGGAAGGUAGAAUUCCCGGUGUAGCGGUGAAAUGCGUAGAGAUCGGGAGGAAUACCAGUGGCGAAGGCGGCCUUCUGGACUGACACUGACACUGAGGUGCGAAAGCGUGGGUAGCAAACAGGAUUAGAUACCCCUGUAGUC
This 465-nucleotide ribosomal RNA is filed under the name Vreelandella stevensii. Its description in RNAcentral is "partial 16S ribosomal RNA". It matches the Rfam family "Bacterial small subunit ribosomal RNA", at positions 338 to 795 of the family's 1533-position model. Lineage: Bacteria; Pseudomonadati; Pseudomonadota; Gammaproteobacteria; Oceanospirillales; Halomonadaceae. The record is from RNAcentral.